CCCUCUGGGAUAAGAACAAGGGGAAUCUGUUCUCAAGAAGGUCCUGGUUGAGAGGCCACUGGUGGCGUUGAAAGGAAACCUGACAACACACUGGCACUAAUGAUCAGCUCCUUUCCCCAGUUCCCCUCAGAGUACAGAGGAGCAAGCAACGUGUUUUCCCUCAGUGUCCUGUCAGCUCCAGCCCGCCUCCAGUGACCUGGGCCUUAUAAGUAUCUUCUUAACGAGAGCAGCAAAACAUAGGUUCGAGAGCUCCUCACAACACGUUACAGCUCCUCAAGACGGACAAAUCAAGUGCAUCGUGUGACACACGGAUGGCCCAGUAACCUGGGAAGCCUGGCAGUCACUACGAUGACACACAAACCGAGCCAACUGGGGCACAGCAAGAUUCCAGAAACAUUAAUGGAUGGGAUCAGCUGUUUAGAGGAGGCCGCUGGAUAAAGGUCAACCAGAUUUAAGGUGAAGACAACUCUGUAAGCAAAGGGGAAGACAAAGGAGGUGGGACCAGCUUGCUCUGAGGUGAACACAGCC
Non-coding RNA from Chiloscyllium plagiosum (whitespotted bambooshark), 528 nucleotides. NCBI's taxonomy places the organism in Eukaryota, Metazoa, Chordata, Chondrichthyes, Orectolobiformes, Hemiscylliidae. The record is from RefSeq and is a predicted model, not a curated record.